This 491-nucleotide ribosomal RNA is filed under the name uncultured bacterium. RNAcentral's name for it is "partial 16S ribosomal RNA". It matches the Rfam family "Bacterial small subunit ribosomal RNA", at positions 29 to 506 of the family's 1533-position model. The record is from RNAcentral.
AGUGAACGCUGGCGGUAGGCCUAACACAUGCAAGUCGAACGGCAGCACAGUAAGAGCUUGCUCUUACGGGUGGCGAGUGGCGGACGGGUGAGGAAUACAUCGGAAUCUACUUUUUCGUGGGGGAUAACGUAGGGAAACUUACGCUAAUACCGCAUACGACCUACGGGUGAAAGCAGGGGAUCUUCGGACCUUGCGCGAUUGAAUGAGCCGAUGUCGGAUUAGCUAGUUGGCGGGGUAAAGGCCCACCAAGGCGACGAUCCGUAGCUGGUCUGAGAGGAUGAUCAGCCACACUGGAACUGAGACACGGUCCAGACUCCUACGGGAGGCAGCAGUGGGGAAUAUUGGACAAUGGGCGCAAGCCUGAUCCAGCCAUACCGCGUGGGUGAAGAAGGCCUUCGGGUUGUAAAGCCCUUUUGUUGGGAAUGAAAAGCAGCAGGUUAAUACCCCGCUGUUCUGACGGUACCCAAAGAAUAAGCACCGGCGAACUUCGU